This is a long non-coding RNA of Dama dama (fallow deer), 931 nucleotides long. RefSeq lists it as uncharacterized. The transcript is spliced from 4 exons. Lineage: Eukaryota; Metazoa; Chordata; Mammalia; Artiodactyla; Cervidae. The record is from RefSeq and is a predicted model, not a curated record.
GGAAAUGAAGACACCCCAGCGAGCUACAGGGUUUUCCUAAAUGUGCAAAGUUGGGGGGUUCUGCUUUUGAGUAAAUUCUAUUGGUGUCUGUGUUGCUGAAGAAAUAAAGACGUUGAAUCUAUCAACUCUGAAAAACCAUCUGUCUGGGAUCAUCUGAUUUCCUUAACUUGAUCUUCCCAACAAAAGAGGCGAGAAAUUCUCGCGCGCAGGCCAAAGCGAGCCUCAGGGGCUCAGCGCUCCCAGAUGAACCGGUCUGACUCCAGGAAGAGACGGCCGCUUCCCUCCUCCAGCUCCCUCUCAGUCUUUCCUGCUGGCCUUCUGGAUCCGUUUCCCUGGAGGGAAGAGACCACGUGGAAACCUGAAAGACUGCCUGGGUGGGUCCUAAGAUCCUAUCAAGACACAGACUCUCUCCAGAUAUGAAGAACAGAGUUUUCCAGGACUCUCCAGGCAAGAAUACUGGAGUGGGUUGCCGUGCCCUUCCCCAUUGGAUCUUCCCGAUCCAGGGAUCGAACCCAUGUCUCCUGUGGCUCCUGACUUGCAGGUGGAUUCUUUACUUCUGAGCCACAGGGGACACCAUUAUAAGAGCAGAAACUCCCUACAAGGAAGAUAAUGGAGGAGGCUGGGCCCUGCCAGAUAAGAGAUAAAAGACCACAUCAUCCUCAUACUUGAAGUUAAGGAGACCUCCCCAACUACACAUGCGCAGAAAGGCUCCUUGGAGGUCAAAAAAGGAGGGGGCAUCACCUCAUAGUAAGUGAUGUCUGCCUACCUACGGUCAUCUGCACCAGAAUCCAUCUUGGCCAAGAGAUGCGCAUGCACAUGUGGGAGGACCCUGAACUAAACCAGUGCAGCCUCAGGACCAGGCAAAGCAUGAUUGGUCAAAGGAAACCUGGAAGAAAUGCCCCAUAAAAUGAUUCAGGCUACCACGAGGACA